This 253-nucleotide ribosomal RNA is filed under the name uncultured bacterium. RNAcentral's name for it is "partial 16S ribosomal RNA". It matches the Rfam family "Bacterial small subunit ribosomal RNA", at positions 524 to 776 of the family's 1533-position model. The record is from RNAcentral.
UACAGAGGGUGCGAGCGUUAUUCGGAAUUACUGGGCGUAAAGCGUGCGUAGACGGUUUUUUAAGUCGGAUGUGAAAGCCCCGGGCUCAACCUGGGAAUUGCAUUCGAGACUGGAUAGCUAGGGUACGGUAGAGGGAAGUGGAAUUUCCGGUGUAGCGGUGAAAUGCGUAGAUAUCGGAAGGAACAUCAGUGGCGAAGGCGACUUCCUGGACCAGUACCGACGUUCAGGCACGAAAGCGUGGGGAGCAAGCAGG